This is a long non-coding RNA of Anolis carolinensis (green anole), 4953 nucleotides long. RefSeq lists it as uncharacterized. The transcript is spliced from 2 exons. The record is from RefSeq and is a predicted model, not a curated record. Lineage: Eukaryota; Metazoa; Chordata; Lepidosauria; Squamata; Anolidae.
UCGCUACUAGUGUCCUUUUCAGCUGAAUCGCUCAAUAAAGACUCCUUGGCGGAUUUUCCUUCAACUUUGGCGGACCUUCUUCAUUUCGGCUUCAGGUUGUAUUGCGGCUCAUAUUCUCCUAUUGGCUCCGCCAAGGUCCAUUCUCUCAGGACCGGAUCGGCUCUCUCCUUAAGGGGCCCGAUCCCCUAGAAACGCGGUCGACAACAUAAUUUGGCUUUACCACGAAGGGACUUGCUUGGAAGUUCCAAAAAUCAAUUUCUAGGCUAAAAUUCCAAGCGGCGACCUUGGUCCAGAUAUUCUGGAACAGGUUGGGGAGAGAAACGGCUGCAAGGAGGGCCCUCCGACCAACAAUUUGACCUCAUUUCACAUCCAAAUUUCUCUGGCAGUCCCUUUCUCUCUCUAGAUCUGAUUCAGGGUACUGAACAAAGGAUCCAGAUAGGAGGAAGCAGAUUUUUAGCUCCUCGAAGGAAAGGCGCCAACGUGAAACAGGGGAUGCCCUGAAAAAAAGGGAACCGGCUCCGUUGUUGAGACCCAGGUGGGCGGAGCUCUGGAGGUAUUGCACUUCGGAUCAGGGCUCGGUAACAAAUUCCUGGUGAAACGCGGGAACAUCUGGCACCUGGAGGCGUGUGAGAACAGUCUGGCUUGCAGAUUACAGGUUCAAGGAUCGUGGGGUAGGGGAACGGUUGUGUUCCCGGGGCACCUGCGGAUUCCACGAACGCCAGCCAUUCAGCCUUGGUGGAAGGAACUCUUGGAAGGACGAGCUGCAUCUGGCCGGUUGGGUGAGUCGUUACACCAUUAACUGUCAGUGUAGGCAGGGGCUGAGCCAAGGAUGGGUGUUUGUUCAGCACGUCUAGGGUGUCCCACCCCAGCAGACAUCCCCAGGGAUUCUCCAUUGGGCAAGAUCCUGGCCAAUUGGGGUGGGCUUGCAUCGAAAAGCAUGGUGCAGGCCAGGUUGGGCUAACUCAGCGCGCAUAAGUGGCCCCUCGUGGCCCUUGAAGGGGGAACAGCUUGCCCCCCCCCGCUUGAGUCGCCGAAUUCGGAGUGUUGACCUAAGGUGACUCACCAUGGGGAGGGCAGGUGGUUCCAGCUUGCUUAUGCCGCGAUGUUCAUGGCCCUAAAGCCAGGGAGAGAAUUGGAGGGGGGAGGGGGUCCACGUCUUCCCAUGCAGAGAUUUGGGCUCCAAAAACAACCCCCCCAAAGAUUCCUCUCUAGACCCUUUCCCCUUAUCCCCUCCUCCAGAGGAUUUUCUGGACACAUUUGCUUGCCUUCUCCCCCCACCCCAUCAGCCCAGGCCCUCUGCCCCAUCCCUAUCCCUACUUUUUCUCCUCACCCUGAGUCCUACACUGAUCUAGGACUCCCAAAUUGGCCUUCCAAGGGAACCCUUGCUUCAGGGAUCCCCCCCCCCAAGAAAUUCCCCUCCAGAGAGUUCAGCCCAGUCUAACGUGGAGGAGGGCUCCCAGCCCCCUCCCCUCUCACCCCAAAACACACCUGAUCCAAAACACUGCUCCUCUUCUCAAGUCACACUCUCUCAGCCCCCAUCCCAGCCGUUCCUUUGAAGCCUGAUGCCCCCCCCCAAUUGUAUCUGCCCCUGCCACUCAACUCCUGCCACAUUCUGAGUUUUCCUCAGAUGGGAAGAAUCACCCCACCAUCCCCCCUCCUUCUCUUGCCCCCACCAGGCUCUCUCUCUCUCUCUCUCUCUCUCUCUCUGCGCUCAUUCCUCUCUUGGAGAGAGAGGAGAAGGAGGGGCCGCGGGGAGAUUGUGCAAAGAGGACACUUUUUUUCUCUUCCUGUUUUUGGAGGGGCAAAGGGGGGAGAAGAUUCAGUCCUGAAGCCUGCCACCAAGAUCUAUAGUUCUCCAAGGAUCGCUUCCUUCUUUCAAAUCAAAUCUUCUCCAACUUGAUAUUCUGCCUUGCCUACCCUCAAAUUGCACCCUUUUUUUUCUUUUCUCUCUCUCUCUCUUCCCCGGCCUGAGUGAAAAUCUCUCUCUCUCUCUCAAAUCUCAAAUCCGUUUCUCCUCUCCUUCCUCUCUUCUCACCUUUUAAAAUCCCUUAUUUCCCUUUGUUCCCAUUUUCUAGACACUAUCCCUAAGAUUUUACCUCAGUGUUGUCUUAUAUUUCCUUUGGUCCUUACAAAAGGGGGGAGGGGGGCCAUUCCUUUAGCCGCUUCUGUUUCUUAAUUUCCCCUUUUCUUUCUCUCCCAUCUGGGAAGCAUGGCAAAGGAUUUGGGUGGGGGAGGGGGACUCCCAGAAAAGUGUUGGUUAAAUUUUGUGUGUUUAUGUAAUGUGUGGGCUGUAAACUCUUCUCUACUCAUCCCUUUGCCUUAAAAGCCACCAGUGAUAUAUAGUUUUCUGGGAAGGAGGGCUGGAAUGGACUAGCUUAGUGCUAUGCUCUCUCUCUCUCUCCCUUUUCUUCUGUGCCAUCUCACCUCCCUAUUUUCAAAGGUUCAAGCCCUAAUAUUUUGUGACCCCCCCCCAGAGAAAUCCUGCUGCUUCUGUGGUUUUAACUUUUUCUUGUCUCUCUCUUCUCAAACCUCCCUUAUCUUAGGGACAAAGGGGGGUGGAAGAAUGCAUGUAUUUUUCUAUAUGUGAGUUUUUUUCUCUCUCUCUCUCCCUUCCACUUCAUGUUUUCCUAGGCCAAAAUGCGCUUCAACAUUCUCCUUUUUCAAAGCUUUCUCUCCCCCCUUCCUUCCCCUGUGAAGGGAACUCCCAGCAUCCCCAUUUCUCCUUAUAAACAUACAGUCAAAAUCCUGGUUUACUUUUAUAGUAAAGGCACUCUUUCACUCUCCACAGUUCCCCAACAAUCUCCUUUCUUCCUUUCGGGUCCUUCUCCCUCCCUUUCCCUGAGUGCAUGCGUGUGAAUGUUUUAAAAAUCCCUCUAACUGCCUUUAAAUAUGAGGGGGGCAGUACAGAGUCCAGGGGACCUUCCAGGCACAGCUGAAGAGAUCCAGAGGACCGGACCCAACCACCUGACUGAGGACAUCAGACCAGACUGCAAGACCCAUAAUCCAUACCUGCCACCAUGAACAGUUCUAAGACCUGGGUAGGGGCUCUCGGAGUGCGCUGUGGAUUUCAUGCAGCAGCUAGAACCCAGAGGCCAUUGGAGAUGGUCCUGUGAGGGCUUUUAUGGCCAGACCACCGUAUGGUGCCCUCCAGCUGGCCUGGUUCUGCCCUGGCAAAGGGCUACUGAGUGCAGGUCUGCCUUUGACGCUGCCAAGGAGGCCCUCAUGACAUCACCAGGGGACAGAAUUGGCCGCCAUGGCAGAAGAUGUCCCAGAAGAAAUGAACAGGAUUCUACCAGUGACCACCAUGAGGGAAGGAUGUUCCACUUUCACCAGAGCUGUGCCAAAGAAGGACCCCAGGACUGCUGGAGCCCUCACAAGGUAUGAGUGACUUCCCUGACUAACCCCACCAGGGGAGGGAGGGGGGCUUAUAAUCUGUCCUUAGUUUCCCUAGGCACUCUCUCCUUUCCGUCUCCUCUGUUGGAGUGCUGGACCUGCCUGCAGUCACCAGGAGGCGCCGUGCUGUGAGGCGCAGAAGCUGUGCCCAGUUGCCCCCAGCUGCCAACUACAAAGGGGGGCCCAAGCUGCAGCCAAGAAAAGGCAGCCAAAUGGGAGUACUGCAUCACAGCCUCCAUCAUCCCCAGCCCUCACCACCUCCACCUUCAUGCUCCAGUUCCCAUGACUCCAGACCAAGGGACAUCUGUUUCAACACCAUGGGAUCACCCACCACUGACUGAACCUCAGCUUUCACCUCUUCAAGCUCCUGCCCUCCAACAAAAAGGCACAAUCUGAUCUACCAAGGCAGAGGCCCUGCAUGCAGUGAAAUGUCGGGGCUUUGGGAAAUGUUCAUAGCCAUUUCCAAGCCCCGAAGGAGGGAAAAUGUGAUCGAGGUGACCACCCCCCCCCCCAGGACUUUGUAAAAGAUAGUUCAAAAACCAAGACUUUAUGUUCUAUAUUCCAUAUAUUUAUAGUAGAAGGUGAUUGAGACUUUUUACUGGAGUUUACUGUGGAUUAUCCCUGCACUCUGAGGCAAGAGAUAACAACUCCAUGAAUUGUGAAAUCAUGCUGCUAAAACUCCACUUUUAUGAAUUUCCAUAUUUGGGUUCCCCAGAUGUUGUGAACUUCGUUCUUAUCAAAUGUUUUCAAUUGUUUAUAUCAUUCAUGAUUCCCCUUUAUGCAAUGUAACCCACCUUUAUGGAUUCUCCCUUAUUUCCUUGAAAUCUAUCUAUCUGCCUAUAUGUAUUUGUACUCUUUGGGAUCCCCAGAAAAUAUGUGUUUUUCCCAGCUGGGUUUAUGUUCCAACUUUAUUUUAUUUUUCAUUUUAUUUCAUAUAAUUGUCAAAUCAUGAAAUCAAAUGGGAAAUAUUUUGACCCCAACAUGAACCCCAGCUCCUAUGACCCAGGUUUACCUUCCCCAAAACAAAAGGUGAUUCGCCCCCAAGGCAAACAUUGUCAUAUCUCCUCCAAAGGGAAAACCAGGACGUCUCAGGAAGACGCCCUGCUGCGCCCAUUGCCACCCAUCCUUACUUCCCCCUGACACCUUAAGGCAUAUCUGAAAUCAGUGUACAUGACAGGGACCCCUGAUGACUGUCAUUAAUCCCUUUAGAAAUCGGCCGGGCAAGGACUAAUCUGAUAUUUCCUGCCCUGUCACUUCAUUGUUUCAAUAACUCCCGCCUUCUCCUUCCUGAUUGGCUCGAGUGGGGACAAAAAGCAGCUCCCUAUUGGGCCAACAGAGCAAGGCGGGAAACGAAAGCCCGCCUCGUUCAACCUUCUAGCCUAUCCGCGAUCAGAUAGGCGGGGGAGUGGGGCGGGAAAUUCAAAGGGCUGUCAGACCGAAACAUUGUAUAAAUAUGGCUUUAUUUGAAACAUAUGAUACGCUAGUAGACUGAAUGAUCGCUACUAGUGUCCUUUUCAGCUGAAUCGCUCAAUAAAGACUCCUUGGCGGAUUUUCCUUCAA